RNAcentral lists this ribosomal RNA (389 nucleotides) under uncultured bacterium. Its description in RNAcentral is "bacterial SSU rRNA". It matches the Rfam family "Bacterial small subunit ribosomal RNA", at positions 28 to 417 of the family's 1533-position model. The record is from RNAcentral.
GACGAACGCUGGCGGCGUGCUUAACACAUGCAAGUCGAGCGGUAAGGCCCUUUCGGGGGUACACGAGCGGCGAACGGGUGAGUAACACGUGGGUGACCUGCCCUCAGCUCUGGGGAUAAGCCUGGGAAACCGGGUCUAAUACCGGAUAUGACUCCAUGACGCAUGUUGUGGGGUGGAAAGCCUUGUGCGGCUGAGGAUGGGCCCGCGGCCUAUCAGCUUGUUGGUGGGGUGANGGCCUACCAAGGCGACGACGGGUAGCCGGCCUGAGAGGGCGACCGGCCACACUGGGACUGAGACACGGCCCAGACUCCUACGGGAGGCAGCAGUGGGGAAUCUUGCGCAAUGGGCGAAAGCCUGACGCAGCGACGCCGCGUGAGGGAUGACGGCCU